AACGAACGCUGGCGGCAUGCCUAACACAUGCAAGUCGAACGAGACCUUCGGGUCUAGUGGCGCAUGGGUGUGUAACGCGUGGGAACCUGCCCUUAGGUUUGGAAUAACUCCCCGAAAGGGGUGCUAAUACCGGAUAAUGUCUUCGGACCAAAGAUUUAUCGCCUUUGGAUGGGCCCGCGUUGGAUUAGCUAGUUGGUAGGGUAAAAGCCUACCAAGGCGACGAUCCAUAGCUGGUCUGAGAGGAUGGUCAGCCACACUGCGACUGGGACGCGGCCCAGACUCCUACGGGAUGCGGGAGUGGGGGAUAUUGGACCAUGGGCGAAAGCCUGAUCCACCAAUGCCGCGUGAGUGAUGAAGGCCUUAGGGUUGUAAAGCUCUUUUACCCGGGAUGAUAAUGACAGUACCGGGAGAAUAAGCUCCGGCUAACUCCGUG
Molecule: ribosomal RNA, 433 nt
Filed under: uncultured bacterium
Lineage: Bacteria
Description: partial 16S ribosomal RNA
Rfam family: Bacterial small subunit ribosomal RNA
Source: RNAcentral